This 588-nucleotide ribosomal RNA is filed under the name uncultured Planomicrobium sp. RNAcentral's name for it is "bacterial SSU rRNA". It matches the Rfam family "Bacterial small subunit ribosomal RNA", at positions 338 to 918 of the family's 1533-position model. The record is from RNAcentral. Lineage: Bacteria; Bacillati; Bacillota; Bacilli; Caryophanales; Caryophanaceae.
CCUACGGGAGGCAGCAGUAGGGAAUCUUNCGCAAUGGACGCAAGUNUGACGGAGCAACGCCGCGUGAGUGACGAAGGUUUUCGGAUCGUAAAACUCUGUUGUGAGGGAAGAACACGUACCAGGUAACUACUGGUACCUUGACGGUACCUCACCAGAAAGCCACGGCUAACUACGUGCCAGCAGCCGCGGUAAUACGUAGGUGGCAAGCGUUGUCCGGAAUUAUUGGGCGUAAAGCGCGCGCAGGCGGUCCUUUAAGUCUGAUGUGAAAGCCCACGGCUCAACCGUGGAGGGUCAUUGGAAACUGGAGGACUUGAGUGCAGAAGAGGAAAGUGGAAUUCCAUGUGUAGCGGUGAAAUGCGUAGAGAUGUGGAGGAACACCAGUGGCGAAGGCGACUUUCUGGUCUGUAACUGACGCUGAGGCGCGAAAGCGUGGGGAGCAAACAGGAUUAGAUACCCUGGUAGUCCACGCCGUAAACGAUGAGUGCUAAGUGUUAGGGGGUUUCCGCCCCUUAGUGCUGCAGCUAACGCAUUAAGCACUCCGCCUGGGGAGUACGGCCGCAAGGCUGAAACUCAAAUGAAUUGACGGGG